AUUGAACGCUGGCGGCAUGCCUUACACAUGCAAGUCGAACGGUAACAGGGAGCUUGCUCCGCUGACGAGUGGCGAACGGGUGAGUAAUGUAUCGGAACGUACCAUUCAGUGGGGGAUAACGUAGCGAAAGUUACGCUAAUACCGCAUAUUCUGUGAGCAGGAAAGCAGGGGAUCGCAAGACCUUGCGCUGAUUGAGCGGCCGAUAUCAGAUUAGCUAGUUGGUGAGGUAAAAGCUCACCAAGGCGACGAUCUGUAGCGGGUCUGAGAGGAUGAUCCGCCACACUGGAACUGAGACACGGUCCAGACUCCUACGGGAGGCAGCAGUGGGGAAUUUUGGACAAUGGGGGCAACCCUGAUCCAGCCAUGCCGCGUGAGUGAAGAAGGCCUCGGUUGUAAGACUCUUUCUAGCCGGAAGGAAAUAGCAUGGGUUAAGUACCCUGUGCAGAUGACGGUACCGGAA
This 460-nucleotide ribosomal RNA is filed under the name uncultured bacterium. Its description in RNAcentral is "bacterial SSU rRNA". It matches the Rfam family "Bacterial small subunit ribosomal RNA", at positions 30 to 483 of the family's 1533-position model. The record is from RNAcentral.